Marvinbryantia formatexigens DSM 14469 is the source of this 166-nucleotide small RNA. It matches the Rfam family "Clostridiales-1 RNA". The record is from Rfam. NCBI's taxonomy places the organism in Bacteria, Bacillati, Bacillota, Clostridia, Lachnospirales, Lachnospiraceae.
CACUGCCAGGGUGCAAAAAGUCAUACAUCCCAUGCCUGCAUGGGAAUGGAUGACUUUGGCGCCCGCGAAACAUGAGAAAGCAGCCAUUUUUCGCAGAAAAAUGUGCGAAUUUCGAAUGUUUCCAGGAUUUCGGGAGUGCGCAGCACGGAGAAAUCCGCAGGCAUCA